CAGCCGCCGCGGGAAUACGAAGGGGGCUAGCGUUGCUCGGAAUGACUGGGCGUAAAGGGCGCGUAGGCGGUUCGUACAGUUGGAUGUGAAAUUCCUGGGCUUAACCUGGGGGCUGCAUUCAAUACGUGCGGGCUUGAGUGUGGAAGAGGGUUGUGGAAUUCCCAGUGUAGAGGUGAAAUUCGUAGAUAUUGGGAAGAACACCGGUGGCGAAGGCGGCGACCUGGUCCUUUACUGACGCUGAGGCGCGAAAGCGUGGGGAGCAAACAGGAUUAGAGACCCCCGUAGUCCCUGUCUCUUAUAC
Molecule: ribosomal RNA, 301 nt
Filed under: uncultured bacterium
Lineage: Bacteria
Description: partial 16S ribosomal RNA
Rfam family: Bacterial small subunit ribosomal RNA
Source: RNAcentral